GAUGAACGCUGGCGGCGUGCCUAAUACAUGCAAGUCGAGCGAACAGACGAGGAGCUUGCUCCUCUGACGUUAGCGGCGGACGGGUGAGUAACACGUGGAUAACCUACCUAUAAGACUGGGAUAACUUCGGGAAACCGGAGCUAAUACCGGAUAAUAUAUUGAACCGCAUGGUUCAAUAGUGAAAGACGGUUUUGCUGUCACUUAUAGAUGGAUCCGCGCCGCAUUAGCUAGUUGGUAAGGUAACGGCUUACCAAGGCAACGAUGCGUAGCCGACCUGAGAGGGUGAUCGGCCACCCUAGAACUGAGACACGGUCCAGACUCCUACGGGAAGCAGCAGUAGGGAAUCUUCCGCAAUGGGCGAAAGCCUGACAGAGCAACGCCGCGUGAGUAAUGAAGGUCUUCGGAUCGUAAAACUCUGUUAUUAGGGAAGAACAAAUGUGUAAGUAACUAUGCACGUCUUGACGGUACCUAAUCAGAAAGCCACGGCUAACUACGUG
RNAcentral lists this ribosomal RNA (497 nucleotides) under uncultured bacterium. Its description in RNAcentral is "partial 16S ribosomal RNA". It matches the Rfam family "Bacterial small subunit ribosomal RNA", at positions 28 to 507 of the family's 1533-position model. The record is from RNAcentral.